UGAUUCACGUUUGAGUUAU
This 19-nucleotide small nuclear RNA is filed under the name Arabidopsis thaliana (thale cress). Its description in RNAcentral is "snRNA_01683". Lineage: Eukaryota; Viridiplantae; Streptophyta; Magnoliopsida; Brassicales; Brassicaceae. The record is from RNAcentral.